UUCCGCUGUGUCAUCUGACUUUUGAAAGAGAGGUGAGUUUCGCGGAAUCUCUGAACCACUUGCCAAUCCGUGGUAUGUUCAUAUUUUUGGUUUUUUCACGUCAAGAUGUUGCCAUGUUUGUCUCUCUAGAGUUUUCGCUAUUGCUUUGUCUCUCUCUUUGUCAUUGGCUCUCUGUGUUCCCUAGGGUUCCAUUAUCAAAUCCUUAAACUUUCUGCUCUUUUCCUUGUUACUUUUAUGUCAGCCACAUAACUUUAAUCGCAGGGAAUAACUCUUUAAUUCAUCUUUUAGCUUUUGAAUCCUCCAUACUAUUUGUUCAUUUGGGCUGAAAAUCUUUGGUUUUCAGCCAAUUUAACUGAUGAUUAGACUUUGGGCAGAUGAAAUCUCAUCUGGGUCGUGAUUGAAUUGGGAGAUUUCUUUGUGUUCGUGUAGAACACAAGUUUUGAACUACAAUUGUCCAUCUGGGUUUCUCUGGUUUCCGUCGAUAAGAGUAGAGGGCUCGAAACUUCAUCUGGGUGGAGGCCAAAAGUUUGAAAUUUUGCUACUGUCUCACUCAAUUGGAACUUAUUGCUCUUAGUUCUUCGUGUUCUUUGCCAUAAUGGAGGACGGAGAGCUCGAUUUUUCGAACCAAGAGAUGUUUUCGGGUCCAAACAUGGGGGGUGAACAUCCGAGUAGUUGCUCAAUGGACAGCUUCUUUGAUGACCUUCUUAAGGACACUCAUGCUUGCACUCACACCCACACUUGCAACCCACCUGGCCCUGACUACUCUCAUACACACACUUGCUUUCAUGUACACACUAAAAUCGUGUCUUCAGCAACAGGAAGUGAAGACAAGGCUGGAACUGAUGACACUGCUGAAUCUGGGGAAAAGAAAUCGAAGAAACGGCCUUUAGGUAAUCGAGAAGCAGUUCGUAAGUACCGCGAGAAGAAGAAGGCACGGGCAGCGUCUUUGGAGGAUGAAGUUGUGAGAUUGAGAGCUCUGAAUCAGCAGUUGUUGAAGAGGUUGCAAGGUCAGGCUGCAUUGGAGGCUGAGAUUGCGAGGCUCAAGUGUUUGCUUGUGGACAUUCGAGGAAGGAUUGAAGGAGAAAUUGGAUCUUUUCCAUAUCAGAAAUCAGUGAAUCCCAACCUGCCCAACCCAAACAUCCCCAGUGCGUAUGUGAUGAAUCCAUGUAAUCUACAGCGUGAUGAUCAGCUUUAUUGUCUUCAUCAAGGGGCUGAUGGAAAAUGUGGAGAUGGGGCGGUGAUGAAUGGGCAAGGAUUUAGCGGUUGUGAUUUUGAGAAUCUUCAGUGUUUGGUAAAUCAGGAUGGAGGAUACAAGGAGCUUUCUGGUUGUGGACUUGGAGAUGGGGUGUCAAAUGGUAAUUCUUCUGCCACAAAUAAGAGGAAGGGAGGGGCUCGAGCCGCAGCAGCAAACUGAAGGGCUUGGGAAGGAAGCAGUGUCAUUAUCCCCAUGAGUACAUAUAUUGCCCUGCAAUAAGUAGUUUUUCAAACUGCAGCAUCAGCUCUCCUUCAGACCGUAGAGAAGGUGGCAUGUGAUUUCUAUCAUGUUUCAGUACUAUGAGCUGUAAACAGUACAUUGCCCUUAGGUGAUGCAUCUGGUCAUUGUGCAUGUCAGUGGACACCCUAUUUCCACCAUUGACGAUGGCAAGGAGAAUCUCUGUAGGUUCCUUGCCUUUGGAUGGUCAGUAUGUGCUUCUGCUAACCAACUUAUUUUAGUGAUCUGGAUUCAUGUGUAGACAGUUGGCUUUUAAUAUCCACUGGUGAAUUUCUUAUAGGUUCAUUCUCAUUUAUAUGAUGGGUAAUAUCAUUAGAGAGAAAAGUGAAAAGAGUUGGUGUAUAUUGAUAUCCCCACUAACGUGAUUUUGAUCACUGAGAAACGAAUAAAGUUUUUUCUUCUUCCUUUUUGAA
Molecule: RNA transcript, 1905 nt
Organism: Prunus mume (Japanese apricot)
Lineage: Eukaryota; Viridiplantae; Streptophyta; Magnoliopsida; Rosales; Rosaceae
Gene name: basic leucine zipper 23
Source: RefSeq, a predicted model, not a curated record